GAGUUUGAUCAUGGCUCAGAUUGAACGCCGGUGGUAGGCUUAACACAUGCAAGUCGUGCGAGAAAGUAUCUUCGGAUAUGAGUAGAGCGGCGGACGGGUGAGUAACGCAUAGGAAUCUACCUAGUAGAAGGGGAUAGCCCGAGGAAACUCGGAUUAAUACCGUAUACCUCCUUAGGGAGAAAGAGGGCCUCUCUUGAUGCUCUCGCUAUUAGAUGAGCCUGCGUAAGAUUAGCUUGUUGGUGAGGUAAUGGCUCACCAAGGCUGCGAUCUUUAGCUGGUCUGAGAGGACGAUCAGCCACAUUGGGACUGAGACACGGCCCAGACUCCUACGGGAGGCAGCAGUGGGGAAUAUUGGACAAUGGGCGCAAGCCUGAUCCAGCCAUACCGCGUGUGUGAAGAAGGCCUUCGGGUUGUAAAGCACUUUAAGCAGGGAGAAAAAGUUAUAAGUUAAUACCUUAUAACCGUGAUGUUACCUGCAGAAUAAGCACCGGCUAAUUCCGUGCCAGCAGCCGCGGUAAUACGGAAGGUGCAAGCGUUAAUCGGAAUUACUGGGCGUAAAGCGCGCGUAGGUGGUUUGUUAAGUUGGAUGUGAAAGCCCUGGGCUCAACCUAGGAACUGCAUCCAAAACUAACUCACUAGAGUACGAUAGAGGGAGGUAGAAUUCAUAGUGUAGCGGUGGAAUGCGUAGAUAUUAUGAAGAAUACCGGUGGCGAAGGCGGCCUCCUGGAUCUGUACUGACACUGAGGUGCGAAAGCGU
This 757-nucleotide ribosomal RNA is filed under the name uncultured bacterium. RNAcentral describes it as "bacterial SSU rRNA". It matches the Rfam family "Bacterial small subunit ribosomal RNA", at positions 9 to 762 of the family's 1533-position model. The record is from RNAcentral.